This 492-nucleotide ribosomal RNA is filed under the name uncultured bacterium. Its description in RNAcentral is "partial 16S ribosomal RNA". It matches the Rfam family "Bacterial small subunit ribosomal RNA", at positions 29 to 507 of the family's 1533-position model. The record is from RNAcentral.
AGUGAACGCUGGCGGUAGGCCUAACACAUGCAAGUCGAACGGCAGCACAGUAAGAGCUUGCUCUUACGGGUGGCGAGUGGCGGACGGGUGAGGAAUACAUCGGAAUCUACUUUUUCGUGGGGGAUAACGUAGGGAAACUUACGCUAAUACCGCAUACGACCUACGGGUGAAAGCAGGAGAUCUUCGGACCUUGCGCGAUUGAAUGAGCUGAUGUCGGAUUAGCUAGUUGGCGGGGUAAAGGCCCACCAAGGCGACGAUCCGUAGCUGGUCUGAGAGGAUGAUCAGCCACACUGGAACUGAGACACGGUCCAGACUCCUACGGGAGGCAGCAGUGGGGAAUAUUGGACAAUGGGCGCAAGCCUGAUCCAGCCAUACCGCGUGGGUGAAGAAGGCCUUCGGGUUGUAAAGCCCUUUUGUUGGGAAAGAAAAGCAGCAGGUUAAUACCCCGCUGUUCUGACGGUACCCAAAGAAUAAGCACCGGCUAACUUCGUG